CAAGCGUGUUCAUCCCCCAGACGGUGCGCAUUGUUGUAAACGCUGUCGUAAAGGUAUAUGACCAGUGUAGUAGAAUGCUGAAGCGGAAUUAGUUUAGCCACACUUUUGGUUGAGGUCCCAAGGAAAUAGGUGGCAACUACUCCACCUCACUCCACAAGGGAGGUGAUAGACCAUAAGGACCUAGCAAAAAAGGUGGCAAAAUGGCUUACUCACUCACUCGCAUUGAGGGUGUACAAGCAUGAAGUUGAAGUGGGAAGGAAUCAGACAGCAGAAAGAUGUUUUAUUUUGAAAGAUUUGGGUGACCUGUGAGUCCCACCUAUGUUCAUGUGAACAGGGAGGGUCCCUCUCAAGCCCAGUGCACAGGACUUCAAGGACACCACUUGGAGGGCACGCUGUGUGCCCUGGGGUGUGGAUCAGUGCCUGGAGCUGCUUGGCAGGUGACAGAGUAAAAAGUGGGCUGCACUAGAAGUAAUGCCUCUCCUCCUGAUGAUGGAUUCCAGUUCUGAAGGCUGGGAAGACCAAGACUAAAGCGCUGGAAGAUUCAGCAUCUGAUCUCAACCCUUGUGCAAAUUGUAUAAGCUUCAAAGGGGAACCCACAAAAUCUGGACCCUGCACAGAGCAUGUACUGCAUAUGUGCUCCUGGCAUUUCACUAAUGUCUUAAAUCAUAUGUCCCAGAGCGCAGGAAUCCAGGCUACAAAGUUCCACUGUGCUUUUAGCAUGGCACAACCAAGCAAUGAAUGUAUUUUAAUCACAGGCCAACAAUAAAGAUAGAGAAUUUAUGAUUUUUGAAAUUCUUUUCUUCUCUAUUACUUAAGGCAGGAUUAGCUCAAUUAAAAUAAUCACAUAAGAAAAUGAAUCGCAUUGCAACUGGAUUAGGAUUGAUGAAAUGACUUUCGGGUAACUCUUUACACAAGAAACAUGCCAUUCAUCUUUGGCUGUGUUGGAAAUGAACCUGAAUGAAGUUGAUUUGACUCUCAUGAACCUUGUGGGAUCAAAAAAAAGCUGAAGAGGACCUGUAACUUCCAGGACUUGCUUACUGGAGUGCUUCUGUGCCAUACAGAAGCUCCCAUACCGGCUGGGAGAAUCCUAAAGAGCUGUUAGCGUUUAUAAUCUCAAGAAUAUACAAGCACAUGCACAAAUAGCAAUUAUGGGCCAAUCAAGUGAAAUCCAUAUUAAGUACAUCAAAAAUCUGUUUACUGUGUAAUAGACUGUUUACCGUAACAUACAUGUACAGAGGAGAUUGCAAAUACACUCUUGAUCUAAGAAGUUUCCACGAUUCACAAAUAAACUUCAUCCUUUCUUCCCAGCCCUCUUGGGUAGUUGGCAUAAAAACAAACAACUUAAAGAAUAGCCUGAUUUAACAUCAAGGCCACUUAAAAAUAGAAAUACUAGUAACUUCUAUUGAAUUAAAGAGUUGCUUCCUUCCUUUGAAUAAUAGCCAUAUAAAUCCAUAAUCCUUUGAGGUGAGAUCAAUUCCAGAAUUCAAAUAACUUAAUUAAUUUAUAGAUUUCAAAAAGGUAAUAUGUGUAUAUACCAUAUAUUAUGCAUCAUCCCUAGCAAAGUCUUGGCAGAACUCUAUGAUCAAACAUAUUAAUAUUUCUGCAGUGAAAGGCAUGAAGAUUCACAUAAAUAAUAGAAAUAAAGAUUAUAAAUAGCUUUAUAUCAUUUCAAGUCAGGUCUUACUGCCAAAUGAAUUCAGGUCAUGUCAGGCUUUGCCACCACAUAAAGUUUUUUAAACGCUGGUUUGUGGUUUUUUUGUAAAAUGAAAUUAUAGAUUAGGGAUUGUGAGCCUGUAUCUCUAAGAGUUCCUGUUAUUUCUCUUUAGUUUUAUACAAGAAAAAAAAUCAAUCAGUGUUUAGUCCUUUGAGGCCUGGGUAGUUAUUCUAUUUGGUUAUGCCAUUCUCCACCCAUCCCAGGACUUUUCAAAGUAAAUCAGAGUAGAACAAAAUAGAAGGACUACUGUCCUCUUGGAGAUUGGUAGUGGUUGCUGGGAGCAGCCUCUUUCCCUACAGCUCUGCUUUAAAAACGAGCUGCCUUUUCAAAUGCAGCACAGGGCCACAGGAGGAGGAGAGAAUUGAUCUCACAGAAUUUAUAGAUGGGGAAAUCACUGCCAGAAAUCAUGCCUCUAGAUAGCACAGUGGGGCCCAUAAAUACUCAAGGCUGGAGGACUGUCUGGACAGAAACCUGUUCAGGAUUCUUGCAGCACGAGUGCUGCCGCUGCCAUUACUCAAAACUCAGACCUCAGAGACAAGCGGGGCUCCAGGAGCUGCAUGUAAACAACAGCAUUUGAUAUAGAAAGAUCAUAAAGUUAUGGAAUGAAUGCAAUCUAGCUACUAAGAACACUCCGCUACAAACUGGAACAAAUCUUCCCAGGAUCAACGUAUCUCCUUCCACCUUUUCCAGAUAGAUGAAUGGAGGACACAACCAUUAACUCAAGGUUGUAGUGAGUGGAAAGAGAGAAAGAGAUGAAUGGGGAACUCUUAGGGAGCUUUUAAAAGGCUAGACACUGUCACUCCCAAGGGAUAUUACAUGUUACUCCACGCUAGGGCCUUUGAGAAAGACACUUGCCUCACCAUUGUUUCUUAAAGCUGAAUAGUAUUCCGUGGCAUACAUAUACCACAUUUUAUUAAUCUACUC
This is a long non-coding RNA of Microcebus murinus (gray mouse lemur), 2638 nucleotides long. RefSeq lists it as uncharacterized. Lineage: Eukaryota; Metazoa; Chordata; Mammalia; Primates; Cheirogaleidae. The record is from RefSeq and is a predicted model, not a curated record.